UACGAAGGGGGCUAGCGUUGUUCGGAAUUACUGGGCGUAAAGCGCGUGUAGGCGGGCCGUUAAGUCGGGGGUGAAAGACCAGAGCUCAACUCUGGAAUUGCCUUCGAUACUGGCGGCCUGGAGCAUGAUAGAGGCGAGUGGAAUUGCGAGUGUAGAGGUGAAAUUCGUAGAUAUUCGCAGGAACACCAGUGGCGAAGGCGACUCGCUGGAUUAUUGCUGAAGCUGAGACACGAAAGCGUGGGGAGCGAACAGG
RNAcentral lists this ribosomal RNA (253 nucleotides) under uncultured bacterium. RNAcentral's name for it is "partial 16S ribosomal RNA". It matches the Rfam family "Bacterial small subunit ribosomal RNA", at positions 524 to 776 of the family's 1533-position model. The record is from RNAcentral.